GUUUAGACAAGGCAUGUGAAUUGAGCAAGUCGCUUGAAUCUAACGCGAACUGAACGUGUAAACACCUUAAUUCAAUUCACUUGAACGAAAAGAAAGUUGAACAUGUUCAACUUUUGGCAAGUCAAUUGAAUUCAACUGAGUUGUUCAAUUCACUUGCCCUGUCAAAACGUAGCAUUAGAUUUUUUCCGGAUGAAAGGCUAACCGGAUUCCAAUGGUGGAAAGAAAGCUGAUUCCCGUUAAUCGGAUACUAGAGCAGAAUCGAUACCGGCAAAGGAAUAAUUUACCUCCAGGCGGUUUACCAAAAGGGGAAAACAUCCGCCUUCAGAACUAACCGGAUAUUGAGAAUAGACAAUCAACAUCAGGUCCACAAAUGGCGGCGAAACAGCCUAUUUGGAACCGGAUGGUUUACCUUCAGACUAUACAGACAUCAGCUAAAUAUACAAGGUUAGAGGAUACAAUAAAGUAAUAGCGGAAUGCAAAUAAAAUAA
Molecule: long non-coding RNA, 488 nt
Organism: Armigeres subalbatus
Lineage: Eukaryota; Metazoa; Arthropoda; Insecta; Diptera; Culicidae
Exons: 3
Source: RefSeq, a predicted model, not a curated record